GUUUCUUAAUGAAAAACGUAGCUUUUCUGUAUUUUAUGUUUUGGUUCCUUCAAUAUAAAUUAUUGACGUUAAGUUAAUUAACAAAAAUCAAUGAAGCGAUACAACUUUGUAAAAUGUAAAUGUGUAUCAUCCAUUAUGGAGCACUCGUAAUAUAUUUUAAAGUCAAUAUUCCAACGUGUCUUUCCCAUGAGGGGUUUUAUGCGCUAGGUAAUUGUGAUGAGACAUCUUAUUGUGCAAGUCUCGACAAGCUAAUAUAAGCUUUGCAGCGUGUUAUGACUUAUGGAACAGGUAGGAAGUGCCAUAUGGUUAAAGUUCAUACUGUGACGUAAUUAAAAAUAGGUCUCGGUCUUUCAAAGGGUGGAAUAAACUGAAACCGCGCAUCUUUGAUACAGAUAUUUGGUCCAAAUCUUUAUUCAAAACUCAAAGUUGAUGUCGUUGUCAAAGCACUGCCCAGCGAGUAGUAACAUUGUUGUAUUCAAGGGCAUGCUAACAAGUGAAUGGAAGGGAAUGAACAGAUAUUAAACUGCAAUUCUAGAAAACUAGAAGCAUUAGCGAGGAAAUGAACUAAACACGAUGAAAGCAGUUAUCUGACUAUCAUGCCAGUGCAGAGAAUAAGUGAAAACAGACUGCUUUCUCAGCAUGAAAGACAUGAGCGGUUGGAAGAUAAAUGGAUUCUUUGUUUAUGUAAAACGAAACAGAGUAAGGGUACGUUAAAUGAGGACACUGACAAAAAAGAACUGGGGGUAUUAUAGUAUUUGGGAUUUGGUGUAUGAUAAGAAUAGUAAACACAGUGCUUAUUUUUUACUGGGAUAUUUCAGUUAUAGCUUUUUUGAUACCAUAGUUUGUGGGCAUGAAUUAUGGGUGGAGACCCCAAUCCUCAAUCCAAUGCUAUGCCCUUGCCAUCGCAGACAAUGAUGAGAUGGAUUUAUACCGCGAGAUCACCUGGGCUUCAGGAUCUCUAUUGGAAGCGAACCACAGAAACACUUGAAGUGGGCUGACUUUUUAUCGGAUAUUUCAUACCUACUGAGGACCAAGUUCAGCUUUACACUUGCAGUGUUUUACAGCAAUGAAGAAUUGUCACCUAAUACGCCAGUCAGCACAUAGAUCAGCAUGGGGCAACAACAAUUCAUGUCACAUUUAUAGAGAUUUGUGACACCCACUGCAAAGACUUUUUGUGACUACCUCACUGCCUGCUGACUGCUCAUUGGGCACACAGUGAAAUUUCUGCUUGUGUGUAGUUCCAGUUCUACUUCCUGCACAGUGUGAUCAUUUGUCCAUGGGUAAUCACACUGCAGCACACUCACCUAUGGAAAACCACAGUGUCGAGCUUGAGGGAGCCCGGAUACCAACCUUACCAUUACCAGCAUCAUGCCCAGCAGGCAUCCAAUCGAUGAUUCAUCAGACCACUGGAUAUGGUUUAAGCUCAAGGUGUCUGACAUUAAGAGUGUGUGCUUAAGAAGAGCCGCAUCAGUGCCCCUUUCCACAAGGCCACUGAUUCAACAUGUUAGUCAGUGACGUCCUUCGUCUGUGUCUCACUUCCUGUCACUGCUCCUCUCACAGUGACACUAUGUGAAAAUGAACUGGGACUGUCAAAGUCUUUCCCUUGCACUUUAUUUGUUGAUGGUUAAGUCUUCAGUUCCCUUGUUCGAAGGUACAACUGCAUAACUUCUCUUGGGAUGUGAUGUAUCUGUGGGUUAAAUGUCUCCAUUUUUAAACAAUACAUAUCUGUCCUCUUCAUCAAGGAA
Brienomyrus brachyistius is the source of this 1745-nucleotide long non-coding RNA. RefSeq lists it as uncharacterized. The transcript is spliced from 3 exons. The record is from RefSeq and is a predicted model, not a curated record. Lineage: Eukaryota; Metazoa; Chordata; Actinopteri; Osteoglossiformes; Mormyridae.